GCCGGGGUGGCGGAAUUGGUAGACGCGGUGGACUUAAAAUCCACUGUCCGCUUAGGACAUGCCGGUUCGAGUCCGGCCCUCGGCACCA
RNAcentral lists this transfer RNA (88 nucleotides) under Gemmatimonadota bacterium. RNAcentral describes it as "Gemmatimonadetes bacterium tRNA-Leu". It matches the Rfam family "tRNA". Rfam says of the family: Transfer RNA (tRNA) molecules are approximately 80 nucleotides in length. Their secondary structure includes four short double-helical elements and three loops (D, anti-codon, and T loops). The record is from RNAcentral. Lineage: Bacteria; Pseudomonadati; Gemmatimonadota.